GGCCCGAAGAGUUUGAUCAUGGCUCAGAUUGAACGCUGGCGGUAUGCUUAACACAUGCAAGUCGAACGGAAACGAUGGUAGCUUGCUAUCAGGCGUCAAGUGGCGGACGGGUGAGUAACGCGUAGGAAUCUGCCCAGUAGUGGGGGACAACCAGGGGAAACCCUGGCUAAUACCGCAUACACUCUACGGAGAAAAGGAGGCCUCUUCUUGAAAGCUUUCGCUAUUGGAUGAGCCUGCGUGAGAUUAGCUAGUUGGUGAGGUAAAGGCUCACCAAGGCAACGAUCCGUAGCUGGGCUGAGAGGAUGAUCAGCCACACUGGGACUGAGACAUGGCCCAGACUCCUACGGGAGGCAGCAGUGGGGAAUAUUGGACAAUGGGCGCAAGCCUGAUCCAGCCAUACCGCGUGUGUGAAGAAGGCUCUAGGGUUGUAAAGCACUUUAAGUUGGGAGGAAAGGGUGAUGGUUAAUACCCGUUAUCUGUGACGUUACCAACAGAAUAAGCACCGGUUAACUCCGUGCUAGCAGUUGUGGUAAUACGGAGGGUGCAAGCGUUAAUCGGAAUUACUGGGCGUAAAGCGCGCGUAGGUGGUUGUGUAAGUGGAAUGUGAAAGCCCUGGGUUUAACCUGGGAACUGCAUACCAAACUGCGCAACUAGAGUACGAUAGAGGGGGGUAGAAUUUCAGGUGUAGCGGUGAAAUGCGUAGAGAUCUGAAGGAAUACCGGUGGCGAAGGCGGCCCCCUGGAUUGAUACUGACACUGAGGUGCGAAAGCGUGGGUAGCAAAUAGGAUUAGAUCCCCUGGUAGUCCACGCCGUAAACGAUGUCUACUAGCCGUUGGAAUCCUUAGAGGUUUUAGUGGCGCAGCUAACGCAAUAAGUAGACCGCCUGGGGAGUACGGCCGCAAGGUUAAAACUCAAAUGAAUUGGCGGGGGCCCGCACAAGCGGUGGAGCAUGUGGUUUAAUUCGAUGCAACGCGAAGAACCUUACCUACCCUUGACAUCCUCGGAAUCCUACAGAGAUGUGGGAGUGCCUUCGGGAACCGAGUGACAGGUGCUGCAUGGCUGUCGUCAGCUCGUGUCGUGAGAUGUUGGGUUAAGUCCCGUAACGAGCGCAACCCUUGUCCCUAAUUGCCAGCGGUUCGGCCGGGAACUUUAGGGAGACUGCCGGUGACAAACCGGAGGAAGGUGGGGACGAUGUCAAGUCAUCAUGGCCCUUAUGGGUAGGGCUACACACGUACUACAAUGGCCGGCACAGAGGGCCGCGAGCCUGCGAAGGUAAGCAAAUCCCUUAAAACCGGUCGUAGUCCGGAUCGGAGUCUGCAACUCGACUCCGUGAAGUCGGAAUCGCUAGUAAUCGCGGAUCAGCAUGCCGCGGUGAAUACGUUCCCGGGCCUUGUACACACCGCCCGUCACACCAUGGGAGUUGGCUGCACCAGAAGUAGGUAGCUUAACCUUCGGGAG
Molecule: ribosomal RNA, 1458 nt
Filed under: uncultured prokaryote
Description: partial 16S ribosomal RNA
Rfam family: Bacterial small subunit ribosomal RNA
Source: RNAcentral